GUACGGGAGGCAGCAGUGGGGAAUAUUGGACAAUGGGGGCAACCCUGAUCCAGCGACGCCGCGUGUGUGAAGAAGGCCUGCGGGUUGUAAAGCACUUUUAGUGGGGAUGAAAAGUACAGGGCUAACACCUCUGUAUCUUGACCUAACCCACAGAAAAAGCACCGGCUAACUCUGUGCCAGCAGCCGCGGUAAUACAGAGGGUGCGAGCGUUAAUCGGAAUUACUGGGCGUAAAGCGUGCGUAGACGGUAGCGUAAGUCGGGUGUGAAAGCCCCGGGCUCAACCUGGGAAUUGCAUUCGAGACUGCUCUGCUAGGGUGCGGAAGAGGGAAGCGGAAUUUCCGGUGUAGCGGUGAAAUGCGUAGAUAUCGGAAGGAACACCAGUGGCGAAAGCGGCUUCCUGGUCCAGCACCGACGUUCAGGCACGAAAGCGUGGGGAGCAAACAGGAUUAGAUACCCCGGUAGC
RNAcentral lists this ribosomal RNA (463 nucleotides) under uncultured bacterium. RNAcentral describes it as "bacterial SSU rRNA". It matches the Rfam family "Bacterial small subunit ribosomal RNA", at positions 339 to 794 of the family's 1533-position model. The record is from RNAcentral.